CAAGUCGAACGGCAGCACGGGGGCAACCCUGGUGGCGAGUGGCGAACGGGUGAGUAAUACAUCGGAACGUGUCCUGUAGUGGGGGAUAGCCCGGCGAAAGCCGGAUUAAUACCGCAUACGCUCUACGGAGGAAAGGGGGGGAUCUCAGGACCUCCCGCUACAGGGGCGGCCGAUGGCAGAUUAGCUAGUUGGUGGGGUAAAGGCCUACCAAGGCGACGAUCUGUAGCUGGUCUGAGAGGACGACCAGCCACACUGGGACUGAGACACGGCCCAGACUCCUACGGGAGGCAGCAGUGGGGAAUUUUGGACAAUGGGCGAAAGCCUGAUCCAGCAAUGCCGCGUGUGUGAAGAAGGCCUUCGGGUUGUAAAGCACUUUUGUCCGGAAAGAAAACCUCCGCCCUAAUAUGGUGGGGGGAUGACGGUACCGGAAGAAUAAGCACCGGCUAACUACGUGCCAGCAGCCGCGGUAAUACGUAGGGUGCAAGCGUUAAUCGGAAUUACUGGGCGUAAAGCGUGCGCAGGCGGUCCGCUAAGACAGAUGUGAAAUCCCCGGGCUUAACCUGGGAACUGCAUUUGUGACUGGCGGGCUAGAGUAUGGCAGAGGGGGGUAGAAUUCCACGUGUAGCAGUGAAAUGCGUAGAGAUGUGGAGGAAUACCGAUGGCGAAGGCAGCCCCCUGGGCCAAUACUGACGCUCAUGCACGAAAGCGUGGGGAGCAAACAGGAUUAGAUACCCUGGUAGUCCACGCCCUAAACGAUGUCAACUAGUUGUUGGGGAUUCAUUUCCUUAGUAACGUAGCUAACGCGUGAAGUUACCGCCUGGGGAGUACGGUCGCAAGAUUAAAACUCAAAGGAAUUGAC
This 859-nucleotide ribosomal RNA is filed under the name uncultured Burkholderia sp. Its description in RNAcentral is "bacterial SSU rRNA". It matches the Rfam family "Bacterial small subunit ribosomal RNA", at positions 58 to 914 of the family's 1533-position model. Lineage: Bacteria; Pseudomonadati; Pseudomonadota; Betaproteobacteria; Burkholderiales; Burkholderiaceae. The record is from RNAcentral.